Lagopus leucura (white-tailed ptarmigan) is the source of this 4545-nucleotide long non-coding RNA. RefSeq lists it as uncharacterized. The record is from RefSeq and is a predicted model, not a curated record. The transcript is spliced from 5 exons. NCBI's taxonomy places the organism in Eukaryota, Metazoa, Chordata, Aves, Galliformes, Phasianidae.
UCUGUCUCAUUCCCAUCUCUGUUUCCCUCCCAGCCCCACAGCUGUUCCCACUCCAGCAGACCCGACUCCUGCUCAGUGCACCAUCUACGUCCAACCCCUUUCCUCCAUCACUGCAGGUCAACAACAGAGAAAACUGGAAAUGCCCCAUGAGGGGGAGAUUACAGCCAAGAAAGAUCGUUCCUGCAAGGUGCCAAGUGUUGUCUCACCAGCGUUCGCCUGGACUGCUUUCAUCUGGCUGGAUGGUGGAACCCCCAUCCCCAGCACUGACACCAUUUGCGAUGUUUCAUGCCACGCAAUCCAUCAUUGCUCCUGAGAAAUUUUCGCCUUUCAUGCUACCCAAGCCUGAAAGCCAGAAACUCUGCAGUGAGGAUGUGGUGAGGUGUGAAUGUACACUUCAUUUCCAAGUGGUUCUUUUCCCCUCAUGUGCUGCACUUUACCAGCAAAGCAGUGGGCACCAUUCUCUGUGCUUUGGCCCAUGUAAUUAUGUGUUUUCUAGCUGUGCUCGGUCAAAAGUAAUCAUGGAGUUAUAACCUCAGUUGGGACAGAAAUCAAUCAGUUUAACAAGUUGACUUGUGUGUGAUUACAGAAGAUACAUUCUGCCACUGAUUUGUUCUGCCAUCCUUUUGCCCUCCUAAGUGGAACACACUGCGGGGACGUAUGAAGCCAGUGAGCUGUUGGUGGUGGCACAGCCUGCCCGUCCUGCUGGGGUGAGAUACAUGUACAGCUGAUGGAUGUGAAGGGACUUCUCCCUCCAGGGAACUGGGAUGCAUUUAGCUGCAGACUGCAUAUCUACCUUAGGCACCUUGUGACCCCUGCCUUGGGUGUGUUUUUAUAGAAUUAGGGAAUUAUCAGAUCUGGAAGGAGAAUGUGUGUAGGCUGAUCUGCCAGCACUGCUGUGCACUUGUACCCAACUGCAGACACAUCCCUCGCUCUGUCCCUUCGCCUCUCCUGUAUUCCCCAACUCAGACUUCGCCUUGUUCAGCAACAAAGAAAAUGCCUUCAGAAAUGUUGUUGCCCUGAUACAGCAGGAGGCUGUGACAGAUACAGUCACUGCUGGGGAACGAGCGCACAGCAAUGCUGCGCUGUCUGUGCCAUUAUUGUUCUCUGCUGCAAACUGGAAGCGACCGAGAGCAGGGCAAGGCAGCAGCCCUUCUGUAACAGCCCUCCCGGGAUGCACACAUGGCUCCAGUGGUGCAGGAUGUGCACAAUGGGCAUGGCUGGCAGCUUCUGCCAUGAGGACGAUGACAAAAUCCCUCCUCUGGAUUUCGCCUCCGUAUCUCAUACCCUCUCAGUGACUGACAUUCAAACUGUUGGCUUUUAAAAAAUCAAGAAAGGAAGAAGGGAAUAUGUAAACUUCCAGGGCAAAUUGUGUUGAAAAAUUAAAGAGUGAUACAGUGAUUGGCUCCAGGCUGGUCCUGCAAGGGUUGAUUCUCAUGGGAAUAGUUACGACUUCUCUGAGGAUUCUUCUCAUUAGGGUUUGUUAUGGAGAAGUCAGUGUGCAUUCCCUCUGUGAGCAGUGAGAGCUGUGGCACUGCCACAGUGCUGCACUCAGCUCUGAAACUGCCGGCAGCAUUUCCAGGCACAGAUUCACAGACUGAUGGAAGGACAGCCCACCUCUGGCCGUCUCUGCGUUUGUAAAUCCUGUCUGGACUCAAAUGAUAUUCUGGGGAACGCAGGUCUUGACCACACACACUGUCAAUACAGGACCUUGGACUUGAACUUUGUGCCUUGGACUUCAGCUUUGUGAGCCCUUAGACAGUCCUUCUGCAGCUGCAUCAGCCCACACACAGUCACAGCUCUCAGUUGGGAGGUGGCAGGCACAAAGCUGGCACUGGCUCUGUGAUUAUUUCUCUGCAAAGUCAAACAGGGCCAAAAAUAAAUGCUAGUGAAGGAAUAAACAGACGUGAAAAGAAGGCUUGGACACUUGGAGGACAAGACUGCUUUGUGUUUCCCAAAGCAAUAAGCCUCUUGACAAGGAGGUUACUCUUUCAGAAAAACACGAGUCCUGUGACAGUGCCAAGCUCUUUCUACAGGGUUUGAACGUGCACCAGUUUGGCAGCAGAAGACAGCUUCCAUCUAUCUCAGAUAGCAACGUGGCCCCAGCACUAUGGCUGUAUCACUUGCAUGCUGGCUUGGGAAGAGGGCCGUGCUGCUGCCGCUCUGGAGGAAGCAGGUAAAGAGAGGACAUGUGUCACUUGCAGAGUCCUGGCAAUAAGGCCUGGAUUUUUAAAGGUGCUUUGCGUUUUUCAGAAGUCCCUUGUGGACAUGGCUCUCUCUUCUUGUGCUGGUCUAAGCACAGUCUAAGCUAGGCCUCUGCUACCUGUCUGCACAUCUCAGACUGGUCAGCUGCAGUCUGGAUGGGCUUUGCUUUCUGCAGGAAAUUGGCAGAAUUCAAAGCAAAUAGGCAGGUACGGGCAUCCUGCGUUCUGGUAGGCAGAGCUGGUUAGCAGAGUGCUGCGGUGAUCUUGGUGGGGGUAGGAAGCGUUGGACCUCACUUUAGGGACUUAACUGGACUCUCCAUCCAGUGCAGUAUGUUUUGAAUUGUGGCCUUUUAGGCUCUUUAUUGUCUCAGUUGGAUACAGAAUGAAAAUGCUGAGUAAUACUGAGCAAUGAUAAGAUUGUGCCUCAUGCACAAAGGGGAGUGCAGUUCUUUCACAGCCUCUAAAGCACCAAGUUGUGAGCCAGCCAAAGCCUCUGAGAACUCUGGGUAAGAAACACAGCUUUUAAAGGCACCUUGUUAGGACUGAAUCUUCAGCACCCUCUGUAGUGACACACAGACUCAUCUCAAAGAGGGCAAAUGUUGAGAAAUUAAGGGAGCUAAUUAGUGGAAUCAGCUGCACUGCAGAGCUGAGGAAUUGAAUGUGAUGGAACUUGGAUUCCAAAACGAGCUGAAACAUGCAGGAAGUUUAACCCUGACAGGAAAUGCUCCAACCCCAGUGGGAUAAAUAACCAGCCCCAAACACAUGGGGAGCAUUAACUGACAUGCAGAAGUUCUGACUGGCAUGAGGGUAUUCUGCUGGCAUGCAGCUAGGGAUUGAAAUCAGAUGUCUGGAGAGGAACUGCUACAGAGUACGAUGCUCUGCUCUGCUCUUUGAUGGAGUCCAUCACUCUUAUCACAGGGCUGACAAAGCAGCUUACCCUGCAGGUCCUGAACAGCCACUACUCCAGUGAUGUGUCCAGGGCAGCAGUUCUGGACCUGCCUUAUGAUUUACUGCCACAAAGGUGGCAUUGGAGAAAAGUGGUGGAGCAAAAGACUGGAGGCAGGAUUUGCCUCAGUCGUCCAGUUUGAAGUUGCUGGGAUGGGGAAGGUAGAGACAGAAUGAAACGUCAAAGGUGAGCUUGCAAAUUGGACUUGAAAAGGAAAUUAGAACAGAUGGCAGAGGGUUUCAACUGGAGAAAUAAAAAGAGGAGAAACGUGGUCAUUACGGAGUGAGAAUGGGGUUGAGAUUAGACCCAACUACAUAUAGUCUAAAAAUGAAUUAAGAACACCUUGUCCACAUUUUCAGUAGAGAUGAUCAUAUUGAGCAGUGGGACAAAGACAGGAUUUCUAGUGGGAAUAUACGUAAGGGAAUGAAAAUCAUCGCAUGUAAGGUGGAAAGAAAAGCAUGAAGAAUUCAGUGUGCUCAGGUGAAGGUGCACUGGCAGAUUUCCAUCCCAGGAUUUGGCACAUGAAAUGAGUUCAGCUUACCCUGAUAUUUCUCUUUGAUGACUGAUUUUUUUUUUAGGCAAAUGAAAUACAGGUGAUUUACUCUAUCCAGACUUGAGUGAAGAAUCUGAUAUUAUACCACAGGGGAAAUUACUGGUUGAAGUUGAGACGAUGGGGAUUAGUGUGGAUGGUGAAUGCAAAACUGUUAAAGUGCAGAGGAGAGGGGAGCUGUGAGAAGAGAAGAAAUGCCAGACAGAGGCAGUCAGUAAGUGGAACUCCUCAGGAGUCAGUGUUCAGUCUUGCUUGUUUCAUUAACGAGUCUGGUACAGCAGCAGGAAUAUAGUAAAGAAAUCUGCUGAGGACACGGGCUUUCUUAAUACAGAGGAUGAUCGGAGCAUCAGUCAGCAAUGAGUGAAUGACAGAAUUCAUCUGAAAUAGAAUGGACAAAGUAGUAAGACGUGCAGUUAGAAAUUAAUAACUAGAAUAUCAUAUUACUCACUUGAAGAUGACAAAGGCAGGGGGGUGGAAAAAAACCCGCAGAGCUUACUUGCUCCCAGGGAUAACUGUGAGCCACCAAUCUGAUAUGGAGAGGCAAACACAAUCCUAGAAGGUACAGGUUCACUCAUGUUUGAGGAAGAUUAGCAGGUACAGAGAAGGGCACUGAGGAUGAUCAGAGGGUUUAGAACAAGAGGAGACUAGAAGAGUUUCAUUUGUUUAGUUUUCCAAAACAAAGGCUAGAGGAGAUAGGAUUGUUUUCAGUAAAUAUAUCUGAUAGGUAAAGAUCAGAGGAAAAAGAGAAUUGUUUAAACUAAAUUAUGAUGCUGGCACAAGAACAAAUGAUAUUAAAGCUGAAAAUUUUAAAUGAAGUGCUGGGACAGCCUGCCAAAAAGCACAAUAUG